CAGCUCUCCGAGUGGUAGGGACGAUUAUUGGGCUUAAAGCGUCCGUAGCCGGCCCGGCAAGUCUUCCGUUAAAUCCAACGAUUCAAUCGUUGGACUGCGGGAGAUACUGUUGGGCUAGGAGGCGGGAGAGGCCGACGGUAUUCUCGGGGUAGGGGUAAAAUCCUAUAAUCCCGGGAAGACCACCAGUGGCGAAGGCGGUCGGCUAGAACGCGCUCGACGGUGAGGGACGAAAGCUGGGGGAGCGAACCGGAUUAGAUACCCGGGUAGUCCCAGCUGUAAACGAUGCGGGCUAGGUGUUGGAGCGGCUACGGGCCGCUUCAGUGCCGCAGGGAAACCAUUAAGCCCGCCGCCUGGGGAGUACGGCCGCAAGGCUGAAACUUAAAGGAAUUGGCGGGGGAGCACCACAAGGGGUGAAGCUUGCGGUUUAAUUGGAGUCAACGCCGGAAAACUUACCGGGGGCGACAGCAGGAUGAAGGCCAGAUUGAAGGUCUUGCUGGACGAGCUGAGAGGAGGUGCAUGGCCGUCGCCAGUUCGUGCCGUGAGGUGUCCUGUUAAGUCAGGCAACGAUCGAGACCCACGCCCCCUGUUGCCACCGAGGAGGUUUCUCCAAGGGGCACUCUGGGGGGACUGCCGUCGAUAAGGCGGAGGAAGGAGUGGGCCACGGCAGGUCAGUAUGCCCCGAAUCCCCCGGGCCACACGCGAGCUGCAAUGGCUGGGACAGUGGGUUCCGACCUCGAAAGGGGGAGGUAAUCCCUAAACCCAGCCGUAGUUGGGAUCGAGGGCUGAAACUCGCCCUCGUGAACAUGGAAUCCCUAGUAAUCGCGCGUCAUCAUCGCGCGGUGAAUACGUCCCCGCUCCUU
Molecule: ribosomal RNA, 860 nt
Filed under: uncultured organism
Description: bacterial SSU rRNA
Rfam family: Archaeal small subunit ribosomal RNA
Source: RNAcentral